CCCGCGGCUGGUUCGGGGCGCUCCCUUAGCUCCUCGAAUAGCUGCGCCUUGUGUGCUGCUCGGCUAGCGGCGGCGGCGGCUGCCCAGUCGGUGUACACCUUCUCGGGGCGCCCGCUGGCCGGGGAGCCUGUGAGCCUGGGUUCCCUGCGGGGCAAGGUGCUGCUUAUCGAGAAUGUGGCGUCCCUCUGAGGCACCACGGUCCGGGACUACACCCAGGUGAACGAACUGCAGCGGCGCCUCGGGCUCCGGGGCCUGGUGGUGCUCGGCUUCCCGUGCAACCGGUUUGGACAUCAGGAGAACGCCAAGAACGAAGAGAUUUUGAAUUCCCUCAAGUACGUCCGACCUGGUGGUGGGUUCGAGCCCAACUUCAUGCUCUUCGAGAAGUGCGAGGUGAACGGUGAGGGGUCGCACCCUCUCUUGGCCUUCCUGCGGGAGGCCCUGCCAGCGCCCAGCAACAACGCCUCUGCGCUCAUGACCGACCCCAAGCUCAUCACCUGGUCUCCGGUAUGCCGAAACGAUGUUGCAUGGAACUUUGAGAAGUUCCUGGUGGGCCCUGACGGUGUUCCUGUGCGCUGGUACAGCCACCGCUUCCAGACCAUUGACAUCAAGCCUGACAUCGAAGCCCUGCUGUCCCAAGGGCCCAGCUGUGCCCAGGGCGCCCCUCCUACCCCGGCUGCCUGGCAGUUGCAGCGCUGCUCUCUGGGGGAUUUUCAUCAGUGAGGGUGUUUCCUCUAAACCUACAAGGAGGACCACCUAAUAGUCCAGAAAAUACCCCCUCGAGAAUGGCCGCUGGUCCUGUCCAUCCCAGUCUCUUUGCCAGACCAAGGGGAGUUUCCCCACUAAUAAAGUGCCAGGUGUUAGCAGAAAAAAAAAAAAAAAAUUACACUCCCGCAUGCCCACCCAUUAUUUGAGGGAGGGCAGAAAGUCAUAUAUUUGGGAUAGGACUGUGAUCCUGGCCUGGAUUUCAUGUGUCUUUUUACCUGAAUAGGCUUAUGUUUCCCAUCUAAAUGAUUCAUUGAAAAGCCAAGAGGAUGGGAGGAGUUUAUCUCCCCCAGAGUUUUUUAUAGUAUUUGGCUGCAGACAUAGGAAUCAAUUGACUAAGCAAGGAUUGCUGGGGAAGCUAUUGAAACUCUGGCUCCUAUGUACUUCGAGUGCCCCAAAGACCUGAAGGUCAUUCUACUUGGUGAAUGUCAACACAAAACAGUGGCAAUCCUGAAGAAGCAUCACCUGGGCUCAAGCUGUUACCACCUCUCUAAUGAUAAGUGAUAUCCCUGCUCACACACCUGCCUACUUGUCUUAAACACUUGCUCCCUUGCUUAAAGCUUGCUAAUUUUUUUUAUUGCAUUUUAGGUUUUGGGCUAUAUGUGAAGAACAUGCAAGAUUGUUGUAUAGGUACACACAUGGCAGUGUGAUUUGCUGCCUUCCUCCACAUUACCUAUAUCUGGCGUUUCUCCCCAUGCUAUCUCUCCCCAACUCCCCACACCCCACUGUCCCUCCCGUAUGUCCCCCCGACAGACCCCAGUGUGUAGUGCUCCCCUCCCUGUGUCCAUGUUUUCUCAUUGUUCAACACUCACAUAUGAGUGAGAACGUGCGGUGUUUGAUUUUCUGUUCUUGUGUCAGUUUGCUGAGAAUGAUGGUCUCCAGUUUCAUCCAUGUUCCUACAAAGGACACAAACUCAUCGUUUUUGAUGGCUGCACAGUGUAUAUUUGCCACAUUUUCCCUGUCCAGUCUAUCAUCGAUGGGCAUUUGGGUUCGUUCCGGGUCUUUGCUAUUGUAAACGGUGCUGCAAUGAACAUUCGUGUGCAUGUGUCCUUAUAGUAGAACGAUUUAUAAUCCUUUGGAUAUAUACCCAGUAAUGGGAUUGCUGGGUCAAAUGGAAUUUCUAUUUCUAGGUCCUUGAGGAAUCUCCACACUGUCUUCCACAAUGGUUGAACUAAUUUACACUCCCACCAACAGUGUAAAAGUGUUCCUAUUUCUCCACAUCCUCUCCAGCAUCUGUUGUCUCCAGAUUGCUAAUGCCUUUUGUCUGUGUCUCCUCUAUACCACUAGGCUGGGGCAGAGUUUGCUCUUCUGGCCCAUCUACGGCUGGGCGUCUGUUGUUGACACCUCUUAAUCUUUAUUUCCACUCCUUCCCACUGGCCAUGUAAGGCACUUGAUUACCUGAGGUGUGAUUAUAAAAGAUGCUUAAAAAACCCCCUAGAUUUGGAAUUUUCCUAACUAGUUGUUCCAUUCCAUAUUUAGUUUAUAUUGUAUCUAGACGCUUUUAGGUUCUGUGAGCCUAAAGUUUAUACAAUAUGGGGACCCUCUAGAAUAAAAAGUAUGCAGAAUUGUAAAUAUAAAACUAGUACAAAAUUGAAUAUUUAUUUAUAACUAUUAAUUACAAGUUACAAAUUUUAAAGAGCUGACAAAUAUCACAAACAAAAAAUCAGUAUUAAUAUUUUUAUGAUUACUAACUGCCUAACAUACUCUAAAAUUUCUUUUUUUCUUAUAUACUUUUUGAUUAUCUCUUAAUAGGACCAAGAUUUCAUAGUAUUUUCUAUGGAGAGAUUUAAGA
This is a non-coding RNA of Callithrix jacchus (white-tufted-ear marmoset), 2554 nucleotides long. The record is from RefSeq and is a predicted model, not a curated record. NCBI's taxonomy places the organism in Eukaryota, Metazoa, Chordata, Mammalia, Primates, Cebidae.